GACGAACGCUGGCGGCGUGCUUAACACAUGCAAGUCGAACGAAGAGCGAUGGAAGCUUGCUUCUAUCAAUCUUAGUGGCGAACGGGUGAGUAACGCGUAAUCAACCUGCCCUUCAGAGGGGGACAACAGUUGGAAACGACUGCUAAUACCGCAUACGAUCUAAUCUCGGCAUCGAGGAUAGAUGAAAGGUGGCCUCUACAUGUAAGCUAUCACUGAAGGAGGGGAUUGCGUCUGAUUAGCUAGUUGGAGGGGUAACGGCCCACCAAGGCGAUGAUCAGUAGCCGGUCUGAGAGGAUGAACGGCCACAUUGGGACUGAGACACGGCCCAGACUCCUACGGGAGGCAGCAGUGGGGAAUCUUCCGCAAUGGACGAAAGUCUGACGGAGCAACGCCGCGUGAGCGAUGACGGCCUUCGGGUUGUAAAGCUCUGUUAAUCGGGACGAAAGGCCUUCUUGCGAAUUGUGAGAAGGAUUGACGGUACCGGAAUAGAAAGCCACGGCUAACUACGUG
This 510-nucleotide ribosomal RNA is filed under the name uncultured bacterium. RNAcentral describes it as "partial 16S ribosomal RNA". It matches the Rfam family "Bacterial small subunit ribosomal RNA", at positions 28 to 507 of the family's 1533-position model. The record is from RNAcentral.